RNAcentral lists this ribosomal RNA (433 nucleotides) under uncultured bacterium. RNAcentral describes it as "partial 16S ribosomal RNA". It matches the Rfam family "Bacterial small subunit ribosomal RNA", at positions 29 to 507 of the family's 1533-position model. The record is from RNAcentral.
AGCGAACGCUGGCGGCAUGCCUAACACAUGCAAGUCGAACGAGACCUUCGGGUCUAGUGGCGCACGGGUGCGUAACGCGGGGGAACCUGCCCUUAGGUUCGGAAUAACUCCCCGAAAGGGGUGCUAAUACCGGAUAAUGUCUUCGGACCAAAGAUUUAUCGCCUUUGGAUGGGCCCGCGUUGGAUUAGCUAGUUGGUAGGGUAAAAGCCUACCAAGGCGACGAUCCAUAGCUGGUCUGAGAGGAUGAUCAGCCACACUGGGACUGAGACACGGCCCAGACUCCUACGGGAGGCAGCAGUGGGGAAUAUUGGACAAUGGGCGAAAGCCUGAUCCAGCCAUGCCGCGUGAGUGAUGAAGGCCUUAGGGUUGUAAAGCUCUUUUAGCCGGGAUGAUAAUGACAGUACCGGGAGAAUAAGCUCCGGCUAACUCCGUG